Non-coding RNA from Podarcis lilfordi (Lilford's wall lizard), 73 nucleotides. The record is from the annotation of a GenBank genome assembly. NCBI's taxonomy places the organism in Eukaryota, Metazoa, Chordata, Lepidosauria, Squamata, Lacertidae.
GCUGGGAUAGCUCAGUUGAUAGAGCAUGAGACUCUUAAUCUGUGGGUGGUGGGUUUGAGUCCCACAUUGGGCA